This 69-nucleotide transfer RNA is filed under the name uncultured Mitsuokella sp. It matches the Rfam family "tRNA". From Rfam's summary of the family: Transfer RNA (tRNA) molecules are approximately 80 nucleotides in length. Their secondary structure includes four short double-helical elements and three loops (D, anti-codon, and T loops). The record is from RNAcentral. Lineage: Bacteria; Bacillati; Bacillota; Negativicutes; Selenomonadales; Selenomonadaceae.
AUAGUAGCUCAGUUGGAUAGAGCAACGGCCUUCUAAGCCGUGGGUCGGGGGUUCGAAUCCCUCCUGUCG